Molecule: long non-coding RNA, 986 nt
Organism: Oncorhynchus keta (chum salmon)
Lineage: Eukaryota; Metazoa; Chordata; Actinopteri; Salmoniformes; Salmonidae
Exons: 3
Source: RefSeq, a predicted model, not a curated record
GGUAAUGGUGAGAGGUUAGCAUGUUUUGUUGUAGUCUCUGUUAUUGGUAAUGGUGAGAGGUUAGUAUGUUUUGUUGUAGUCUCUGUUAUUGGUAAUGGUGAGAGGUUAGUAUGUUUUGUUGUAGUCUCUGUUAUUGGUAAUGGUGAGAGGUUAGUAUGUUUUGUUGUAGUCUCUGUUAUUGGUAAUGGUGAGAGGUUAGCAUGUUUUGUUGUAGCCUCUGUUAUUGGUAAUGGUGAGAGGUUAGUAUGUUUUGUUGUAGCCUCUGUUAUUGGUAAUGGUGAGAGGUUAGUAUGUUUUGUUGUAGUCUCUGUUAUUGGUAAUGGUGAGAGGUUAGUAUGUUUUGUUGUAGCCUCUGUUAUUGGUAAUGGUGAGAGGUUAGUAUGUUUUGUUGUAGUCUCUGUUAUUGGUAAUGGUGAGAGGUUAGCAUGUUUUGUUGUAGUCUCUGUUAUUGGUAAUGGUGAGAGGUUAGUAUGUUUUGUUGUAGCCUCUGUUAUUGGUAAUGGUGAGAGGUUAGUAUGUUUUGUUGUAGCCUCUGUUAUUGGUAAUGGUGAGAGGUUAGUAUGUUUUGUUGUAGUCUCUGUUAUUGGUAAUGGUGAGAGGUUAGCAUGUUUUGUUGUAGUCUGUUAUUGGUAAUGGUGAGAGGUUAGUAUGUUUUGUUGUAGUCUGUUAUUGGUAAUGGUGAGAGGUUAGCAUGUUUUAUUGUAGCCUCUGUUAUUGGUAAUGGUGAGAGGUUAGUAUGUUUUGUUGUAGUCUGUUAUUGGUAAUGGUGAGAGGUUAGCAUGUUUUGUUGUAGUCUGUUAUUGGUAAUGGUGAGAGGUUAGCAUGUUUUGUUGUAGUCUGUUAUUGGUAAUGGUGAGAGGUUAGCAUGUUUUGUUGUAUCCUCUGUUAUUGGUAAUGGUGAGAGGUUAGCAUGUUUUGUUGUAGUCUGUUAUUGGUAAUGGUGAGAGGUUAGCAUGUUUUGUUGUAGCCUCUGUUAUUGGUAAUGG